UACGUAGGGAGCAAGCGUUGUUCGGAUUUACUGGGCGUAAAGGGCGCGUAGGCGGCGUGUCAAGUCGAUUGUGAAAUCUCCGGGCUUAACUCGGAACGGCCAAUCGAUACUGACGUGCUAGAGUGCAGAAAGGGCAAUCGGAAUUCUUGGUGUAGCGGUGAAAUGCGUAGAUAUCAAGAGGAACACCUGAGGCGAAGGCGGGUUGCUAGGCUGACACUGACGCUGAGGCGCGAAAGCUAGGGGAGCGAACGGG
RNAcentral lists this ribosomal RNA (253 nucleotides) under uncultured bacterium. Its description in RNAcentral is "partial 16S ribosomal RNA". It matches the Rfam family "Bacterial small subunit ribosomal RNA", at positions 524 to 776 of the family's 1533-position model. The record is from RNAcentral.